Molecule: non-coding RNA, 92 nt
Organism: Pelobates cultripes (western spadefoot toad)
Lineage: Eukaryota; Metazoa; Chordata; Amphibia; Anura; Pelobatidae
Source: the annotation of a GenBank genome assembly
UUUUUGUGUUCUAAUAAGCCGGAAGUGCCUCUAGUGGCUUAUAGACAGCCAAUAGAGGCACUUCCGGCUUAUUAGAACACAAAAAUACCUAU